GAAAAAAGUUAUACAACGACUUACACAAGCAUCUACCUACAUUGUAAUUUCGCGUAGAUUACAUACGAAAUGAAACCCAGAACCACAUGGAAGAAAUCAUUGGCGAUGACAAUCACGAAUAGAUUUUAAUUCUCGUGACGGUAGCAGAAAAUUUUGCCUCUUCUUUGAAGCAGUUUUGUAGGCUGCUUGAAGGUUUCAGCGCAGGUGAGCUGCGAAGGUGCUGAGCCAAGUCCAGCGAACCAGCUCAUGGUUCUCGAGCAUUUCCUUCUCCCUCGUCAUAGAAACGCAUUGACCUUCAGGACAAAAUGCCGACGAUCAAUGCAAACGUUGCACCGUAUUAUCGUUAUUUGAGAAUAUAACCGGAAUUAUGCGAUUGCCUAACAACUAUCUAAACUAAUUGCAACAGCGUUUUACCCUUUGUGAAAUUUAAAACCAUGCUCAGGAACAGUCUGCUUCUUCAAUCCAAUAAAAAAAA
Molecule: long non-coding RNA, 475 nt
Organism: Apis florea (little honeybee)
Lineage: Eukaryota; Metazoa; Arthropoda; Insecta; Hymenoptera; Apidae
Source: RefSeq, a predicted model, not a curated record